AGUGAGGAGGUGGUUCUUGCCCGUGUUGUGUGUGUGUGUGAGUGAGAGAGCGAGUGAGUGAGUGAGUGAGUGUGUGUGUGGGGGGGACUCGGCUUGUUGUUGUCGGUGACUUCCCCCUCCCCUUCACCCCUUCCCCUCCCCGCCGCCGCUGCAGUGGCCGCUCCCUGGGCCGUAGGAAAUGAGCGAUAACGAUGACAUCGAGGUGGAGAGCGACGCUGACAAACGGGCUCAUCAUAAUGCACUGGAACGAAAACGUAGGGACCACAUCAAAGACAGCUUUCACAGUUUGCGGGACUCAGUCCCAUCACUCCAAGGAGAGAAGGUGAG
Molecule: non-coding RNA, 327 nt
Filed under: Pan troglodytes (chimpanzee)
Lineage: Eukaryota; Metazoa; Chordata; Mammalia; Primates; Hominidae
Also listed under: 1 other name
Source: RNAcentral